Molecule: long non-coding RNA, 443 nt
Filed under: Anser brachyrhynchus (Pink-footed goose)
Lineage: Eukaryota; Metazoa; Chordata; Aves; Anseriformes; Anatidae
Description: lncRNA (ENSABRG00000023156.1)
Source: RNAcentral
CUUGCAACUCAUUUUAAAAAAUGGUGAUGCUGGAAUAUGUUUUGCAAGCCCAUACAUACAUAAGUAUUUUUUUUUUCUGUACUAUAGAGCAUGUUGGGAUAACACCUAAACACAGAUUACAGAAGAGAAUUGCUGAAUAGAUCUGAAAGAUCUAAACCUAAAGGGAAGAAAAUACAGGACUUUAAGGUAAAUUGGUCUUAAGUGAUUUCCACCUAAAUACUUUUAUGGACAGAUUUCUGAGAUGGUGGCCACCAUGUGAGAAGGCUUGAAGUCACGUCAACCUUUUUUAACUGUGUAUGUGUCUAGUCUUGGUGAGAGCAAGUAUUCAAUUGGGGCACAGACUGUUUUGUGGAGCACCCUGUUUAACAGCGUUCACUCUUUUUUUUUGUUGGACACAAGUUGCUGAAAUGUGUCUACAAAAUGCAUAUGUAAGAAAUGAAUAA